Molecule: long non-coding RNA, 2167 nt
Organism: Glycine soja
Lineage: Eukaryota; Viridiplantae; Streptophyta; Magnoliopsida; Fabales; Fabaceae
Exons: 9
Source: RefSeq, a predicted model, not a curated record
UGUCAAGUCUGGGUUUUGUUUUCUUUAUGCUUAAAUACUUAAAGUUUCCAUUUUUAUUUUCAGCUAUUAUUAUCUGGUUUUGGUUUUUCCUGUUGAACUUUUGUUUCAUCGGUUUUGGUUUUUGUUGUCGAGAUUUUGUUUCAUUGAUGCAUGUUGUGUUUCGCAAGGAAUGUUGUUUGUUUUCACUGUUUUGGUUUUCGCUCUUGAGCUUUUGUUCCAUGCAUGCACUGUGUGUUUCGCACGGAUUGUUGUUUCAAUAUGCAUGUUUGGUUACACAUGCAUGUUUUUUGGUGGUGUUGUUGUUGAUUUGUUGUUCACAAAUGUUUUCGGCUUUGUUUGUGGUUUUUCAAUAACAAUAACUGAUAUCUUUGAUGUUGUUUGGUAUUUGACAGACGCAUGAUGACGAUGUGUCAAAUGUUUCCUAAUAUCUAUGCAUGUUUAGUUGUUACCUUUUUUCCCAAUUCUGGCUUACCUGAGGUCAUUUGGUGUAUGCUUUGGUUGUGUUAUAGGCAGGGUCAAGAAGAUCGCCGAAUAGGUAAGUCUUUCAGAGAAGCAUGAGCUGACCUAUAAUUGCAAUGCGUUUAAUGUUUUCUAUGUCUAUGCAUAUUUGGUUGUAUCUUUGUUAAUUUUAUUUGGUGUAUGUUUUGGUUGUUAUUUAGGCAAGGUGAAGGAGAUCACAAAAAGGGUAAAAUGUAUCUAUAUUUUGUAUUCUAUAUUCUAUGUCUAUCUAUAUUCUCUCUAUAUCUAUACUAAGUCUUAUCCAAGAGAUGUAUAGGGAAAAGACUAUUGUGCACAUGCUUGAACUGCUGACAUGUGUUGAAUUUUGCUUUCUUAGUUUGCUUGGUUAACAUUAUGCUUGCCACGAGGGCACAAAAACGGUUCUGUAUAGCCAUCUAUUUUCUUAUGGCACUAAAUGCAAGCUGCAUAACACCAUGAGUGAUUGUCCAUAACAAUGGUUGUUAAUUUGUGAUUGUACCAAUAGUUAGACAAAUAAACUCCUGCAGGAAAUAUCACAGGUGUAAAAUUCAGCAAGAGGCAGGCAAAGAAGCGAUUAACAAAACCUAGAGGCUAUGAACUCCACUGGGAAGGGCGUGUCAAAACUGAGCGGGUCUCAAUGCCCAAUUCUGAAAGUCUUCCAUUUUGUGGUAUCUUGAGUUCCAGUUUAGUUUACCUCCUGCUGACACGUGCAAUUUUGUGUUCUCCAUAUGAGCAGAUCCAACUUAUGCUUCUAUUUCUGCCUGUUGGAGGAUGCUAUUCAUCCUUAGUUAGCAAUUCUUUGCUAGCUUCUAAGUUGGCAAUUAAUCAGCCGGUGGAAUGGAAGCAACAAUUAAAUCAAAGGUUUUGUUGCAUGCAUUUGCUGAAUUUGCAUUUAUUUCACGGUUCCUAUCCUUCAUUAGCUGGCAAUUGUUUUCAGCCAAUUAUCUCAUAGGAUGCAUUUCUUACAGAAGCUCAGUCUAGUAUUGUUUGGCCACAUUAAUUGGAUUUCUUGGAAACAGCGAUUGAGACUGGACAGUUUCCAACCAAACCAAUCUUCCAUUAAUUGGAAUUUUGGGAAAAUGUAGUAAUUUAAUGCGUUCAAUCUGCUCCUUCACCUUCCUAUAACAUCCUGAGGUUUAGCUUAUAUAGCAGAGGAUGCAGAGGCUUCACCACAUUGCUGUAAUAUGUUAUCUUAGAUUUUUCCCCAAACAAUCAUUAGUUUCUGACCAUCUCAAAGAUGAGCUCGACAUCAUCAACAACGUCAAGCAGGAUGAGGGAUCCCAUAAUGACCCGGCCCUGCAUAUUACAAUUUAUUGCAGCAUUUCACAAUGAGAAGGACUAUAUAUAAAUACCUUCAUUCUACCAUUCACAGUGGGCGCCACGUUAUCCAAAAUUCGCCCGGUUUAACUAUGAUGGAGCCUCAUACCAAAUACGCCUCAGACAAUAUCAAUGAAAAUUGUUCUUUGCUAAUGACCUAAAACAGUUGAGGAAGCACUUAAAUAUCUACAAGUCAGUUACUAUCAACUUUAUGGUCUAUGAACACAGAUGGAAUUUUGAUCUUCAUUUCAGUCCUUCGCUUGAACAACAGGCAUGAGGCAGACGAUUGAACCAUGAUAUAAAAAAAACUUGAAUUAUGAACAUGCUAACGAUUGAACCAUCAUGUCACGAUUAUUCUAAAUGCUAGCCUUCU